CCUACGGGAGGCAGCAGUGAGGAAUAUUGGUCAAUGACCGAGAGGCUGAACCAGCCAAGUCGCGUGAGGGAAGACGGCCCUACGGGUUGUAAACCUCUUUUGUCGGGGAGCAAAGCGAACCACGUGUGGUUCAUUGAGAGUACCCGAAGAAAAAGCAUCGGCUAACUCCGUGCCAGCAGCCGCGGUAAUACGGAGGAUGCGAGCGUUAUCCGGAUUUAUUGGGUUUAAAGGGUGCGCAGGCGGAGGUGCAAGUCAGCGGUCAAAUUGCGGGGCUCAACCCCGUACUGCCGUUGAAACUGGAUCACUAGAGUGAGAGAGAAGUAAGCGGAAUGCGUGGUGUAGCGGUGAAAUGCAUAGAUAUCACGCAGAACUCCGAUGGCGAAGGCAGCAUACCGGCGCGCAACUGACGCUCAGGGACGAAAGCGUGGGUAUCGAACAGGAUUAGAUACCCUUGUAGUC
This 459-nucleotide ribosomal RNA is filed under the name uncultured bacterium. RNAcentral's name for it is "partial 16S ribosomal RNA". It matches the Rfam family "Bacterial small subunit ribosomal RNA", at positions 338 to 795 of the family's 1533-position model. The record is from RNAcentral.